Molecule: ribosomal RNA, 425 nt
Filed under: uncultured bacterium
Lineage: Bacteria
Description: bacterial SSU rRNA
Rfam family: Bacterial small subunit ribosomal RNA
Source: RNAcentral
UAAGAAUAUUCCGCAAUGGACGAAAGUCUGACGGAGCGACGCCGCGUGGAUGAAGAAGGCCGAAAGGUUGUAAAGUUCUUUUGUUGGGGAAGAAUAACCAUGGGAGGGAAUGCCCGUGGGAUGACAUGAACCGACGAAUAAGCCCCGGCUAACUACGUGCCAGCAGCCGCGGUAACACGUAGGGGGCGAGCGUUGUUCGGAAUUACUGGGCGUAAAGGGCAUGUAGGCGGUCUUGUAAGCUUGGCGUGAAAGACCACGGCUCAACCGUGGGAUUGCGUUGAGAACUGCGAGGCUUGAGUGACGGAGAGGGAGCUAGAAUUCCUGGUGUAGGGGUGGAAUCUGUAGAGAUCAGGAAGAAUACCAAUGGCGAAGGCAAGCUCCUGGCCGAUGACUGACGCUGAGGUGCGAAAGUGUGGGGAUCAAAC